UGGAAGUAAAAGUCGUAACAAGGUCUCCGUUGGUGAACCAGCGGAGGGAUCAUUACAAAACGAGUGCUUCGGCUCUCCAACCCAUUGUGAACUUACCUAUCGUUCCCUCGGCGGGCUCAGCGCGCGGCCGGCCUCCGGGCCACCGGGCGUCCGCCGGGGACAACCAAACCCGAAUUUUUCGUGUAUAUCUGAGGGGUGAAAGCCCGAAAACAAAAUGAAUCAAAACUUUCAACAACGGAUCUCUUGGCUCUGGCAUCGAUGAAGAACGCAGCGAAAUGCGAUAAGUAAUGUGAAUUGCAGAAUUCAGUGAAUCAUCGAAUCUUUGAACGCACAUUGCGCCCGCCGGCACUCCGGCGGGCAUGCCUGUCCGAGCGUCAUUUCAACCCUCAGGGCCACCCUUUCGGGGGUUCGGCGCCUGGUGCUGGGGAUCAGCGGCCCUCCGGGGCCCCUGUCCCCCAAAUUCAGUGGCGGUCGCGCCGCAGCCUCCCCUGCGUAGUAGCACACCUCGCACCGGAGAGCGGCUCGGCCACGCCGUGAAACCCCCAACUUUCACAAGGUUGACCUCGGAUCAGGUAGGAAUACCCGCUGAACUUAAGCAUAUCA
This 603-nucleotide ribosomal RNA is filed under the name fungal sp. RNAcentral's name for it is "eukaryotic LSU rRNA". The stretch from base 224 to 377 matches the Rfam family "5.8S ribosomal RNA". The record is from RNAcentral. Lineage: Eukaryota; Fungi.